RNAcentral lists this long non-coding RNA (1239 nucleotides) under Numida meleagris (helmeted guineafowl). Its description in RNAcentral is "lncRNA (ENSNMEG00000018800.1)". Lineage: Eukaryota; Metazoa; Chordata; Aves; Galliformes; Numididae. The record is from RNAcentral.
UAGAAACACAUGAGCACAAAGAAAACAGAUGUAAUUGGCUUCUGGAGGUCAGGUUAUGUAAAGACCCCGGUGAACAGAGAAGGCAUCCUUUAAGAAGAACCUCUGAGGUUCCCUUGAUUUGAAUGACUUCACUCUUCCUAAAACGCGAUGCUACGCAAACAAUUCACAGUGAACUCAGCGUUGUGGAUUUUCUUACCUAGGCAGACGAGCUGGAAGAAAUGCGGUCAGUGCAUAACUGGUACUGAGGUUGCGGCGGCUACAAAAGCAGAUGGUGGUUUUCAUUGCUCCGAGUUCUGCUCCUGGCUCUGCAAGGGAGGCAUCUGCGCUCUCCAGCACUACCGGAUAUUCCGCCUAGUGCCCACAGUAUAUUUCAUCCAGUGCUUCAGUCAUCUUGUCACAUAUUUUAUCAUCCAUUCAUCUUUCUCAGAGAGCAGGCCUACAAAACAGUUGAACGAAAGCCAAAAUAACUCUUGACUUUUGUUGGAGGGAAAUAUUGACCAAUGGUGGGGAAAAAAUCUACGUUGAAUUUGCACACGAUAUACUUAUCAAGACUUGCUGUGAUGCUGCUGUUAAAACCUUCAUUUUGCUGAUAAUUUUUGCAUUACAAAUACAUUUUUUCAUGUCCAGUGGCCUCUGAUCCUAAUGCUUUCCAGCCCUUCUUUUUUUCCUUCCCAGUUAACAGCCAAUGGACUUGAGCUUUCUGAUCAAGCACCUACUGAGUGAAUGAGAAUCGUAGAAUGGUUUGAGUUGGAAGGGUCUCUUAAAAGUCAUCUGGCCCCACUCCCCUGCCAUGAACAGGGACACCCAUAGCUCCAUCACAUGCUCAGAGCCCUGUGCAGCCUGACCUUGGGUGUCUGCAAGGACGGGGCAUCUACCACCUCUUUGGGCAAAUCCUGGGGUUUUUUUGCUCAAUUUUCUUUUUCCUAACGCAACCAGUCUAGAAACAGUCCUAUUCAAAAAACAUUAAAAAAGUGAUAAUCCAACCCAGUUUUUCCAGUGGAGGAUUAUCCUAGCAUAAGAGAUUUAGCUAGAGAUUGCAGUUGCUUGUAGGAACUUCCAGCCCUAAUCAGUGUCUGGGGCAGGUUAUGUUCAUGAUGUGAAGAGCCACUCUCAUGCACUUCGCUGGAUACACUAUGGUCUUCUUGGAGAGAUUUUGUAUGUGUUGGGCUACAGUAAGAGCCAGAAGGGGCGAGAUGUAACCAUUUCCCCAGCUUCCAUUCCCAUAUCAGGGAGAACUUG